Molecule: long non-coding RNA, 549 nt
Filed under: Pan troglodytes (chimpanzee)
Lineage: Eukaryota; Metazoa; Chordata; Mammalia; Primates; Hominidae
Description: long non-coding RNA NONPTRT015472
Source: RNAcentral
CGCUCGCCUUAGUUCCCAGGCUUUGGCCUCCGGUGGGCGAGAAUCGCGGAGCCUGCGGGGCUGGGUGCCGAAGAGCCGGGCCGGCACCCAAGCGGGCGCGGGGCUGUGCGGGCCAGGCGGAGGCUCAAGCGGGGAUCCCCGAGCACGACCCCCGGAGCCGACGGCGCUGGGGCCCAAGGGGCCGGCCGGGCGGUGGCGACGGCGGAGGCGAAGGGGCGGCGGGACCCGGGCCCGGCCCGUGUGCGUCCUCGACGGCCCGGCCCCGGCUCCGCAGGACGGUGAGCCCCAGGGAGACGGAUCUGGGCUCCGGGAGGGACGCCCUGCCUGGAUUUGUCCCGUAGGCCCGGCCCGGGCCCCUCUGGAGCAGAACGGCCUUGGUGAGGUGGACAGGAAGGGACCUCGCGAGCAGACGCGCGCCCGCGACAGCAACCCCGCCCCGGCCUGUCGGGAGCGGUGGGGCAGAGGCUGCGGAGCCCCAGGAGGAUCUGCCUCCGCUUUCACAGUCCUCCAGAUUUUUACAAGAGCAGCAGAAAAUGAAUAAAUCCCUGG